CGGGAUGUAGCGCAGCCAGGUAGCGUACUAGCAUGGGGUGCUAGGGGUCGCUGGUUCGAAUCCAGUCAUCCCGACAA
This 77-nucleotide transfer RNA is filed under the name Flavobacterium sp. RNAcentral describes it as "tRNA-Pro". It matches the Rfam family "tRNA". Rfam says of the family: Transfer RNA (tRNA) molecules are approximately 80 nucleotides in length. Their secondary structure includes four short double-helical elements and three loops (D, anti-codon, and T loops). Further hydrogen bonds mediate the characteristic L-shaped molecular structure. tRNAs have two regions of fundamental functional importance: the anti-codon, which is responsible for specific mRNA codon recognition, and the 3' end, to which the tRNAs corresponding amino acid is attached (by aminoacyl-tRNA synthetases). tRNAs cope with the degeneracy of the genetic code in two manners: having more than one tRNA (with a specific anti-codon) for a particular amino acid; and 'wobble' base-pairing, i.e. permitting non-standard base-pairing at the 3rd anti-codon position. Lineage: Bacteria; Pseudomonadati; Bacteroidota; Flavobacteriia; Flavobacteriales; Flavobacteriaceae. RNAcentral also lists the same sequence under 2 other names. The record is from RNAcentral.